This 233-nucleotide long non-coding RNA is filed under the name Lathyrus oleraceus (garden pea). RNAcentral's name for it is "Pisum sativum (pea) long non-coding RNA (PSAT_LNC026926)". The record is from RNAcentral. Lineage: Eukaryota; Viridiplantae; Streptophyta; Magnoliopsida; Fabales; Fabaceae.
UUAAGUUCAUUUACAAGUUUGAUCAAGAAAAAGAGUUUGAAAGUGCAAUGACAUAAGGCAAAAGUUUCUAAUUUGCAAACAAGUCAUAGUUUAGAAAUCACAAGCAAAGAAGAUUUUGAAAAGGGGGAGAGAUUUGAAAUUUAAGAAGUGGGAGGAGAUGAAGAGACUAAUCCUAAGCAAAAAUUAAAAGUUAAGAGUUAAAAAGAUCUGACCAAUGGGAUGCAAUCCAAUAG